RNAcentral lists this ribosomal RNA (2348 nucleotides) under groundwater metagenome. RNAcentral describes it as "bacterial LSU rRNA". It matches the Rfam family "Bacterial large subunit ribosomal RNA", at positions 1266 to 2925 of the family's 2925-position model. The record is from RNAcentral.
AGGAGCGAUGUUGGGGUGUACAGGUGAUUAUGCCGGAAUGAGUAACGAUAAAGCAGGUGAGAAUCCUGCUCGCCGAAAGCCUAAGGUUUCCUGGGGAAGGUAAAUCCGCCCAGGGUUAGCCGGUGCCUUAGUCGAGGCCGAAAGGCGUAGACGAUGGACAGCAGGUUAAUAUUCCUGCGCCACCUCUGCCCUAUACCGAUGGAGGGACGGCAUCCAGAAGGAGAGCGGUACGAGUAGAAAUGUCCGUGCAGCAGACUGAGAUGGCGGGAUAGGUAAAUCCGCCCGCGUAAUUCAAGGUCUGAGGCCGAGAGCGUUUAAGUUCUCGAAGUCUUUGGAAGGAUGUUCAAGAAAAUCUUCUAGGUGGGUAUGUGACCGUACUAAAACUGACACAGGUAGGUGAGACGAGUAGUCUAAGGCGCUCGGGAGAACGGUGGUUAAGGAACUCUGCAAAUUGACCCCGUAAGUUCGCGAUAAGGGGUGCCGUUGGAGGUUUACGCUUCCGGCGGCCACAGUAAAUCGGCUCCAACGACUGUUUAUCAAAAACACAGGACUCUGCUAACACGCAAGUGGAUGUAUAGAGUCUGACGCCUGCCCGGUGCCGGUAGGUUAAGGAAGGCGGUUAUCCCUUCGGGGAGAAGCUGGCGACCGAAGCCCCGGUAAACGGCGGCCGUAACUAUGACGGUCCUAAGGUAGAAUAGCUGCCUCCCUGUGAAGUAAUUCACAGGUAAACACUCGGCUGUAUGCGGGAAAAUCCUGAGAGCCCUCGCUUACGUUUCCAAAGCAAUCUGCGUUGGCGUAAUAAUGGCGAGGGAUUGGACAAUCCGCAGGAAACCCAUUUCGAUGGGGAUCCUCAGAGACUAUACGCCGAGUAUCCGGUAGGAGUGUGUUGUGGAUCUUAACGCAGAUUGGGUUGUCGGAUUUGUUGAUGGCGAAGGCUGCUUUCAUGUCAGCCUAAACCGUCAUGAAGAAAUGUCCGUCGGCUACCAGGUGCUACCAGAGUUUGUCGUUGUGCAACACGAGCGCGAUGUUCAGAUUCUGCAAGCUCUGAAACGGUUUUUCGGUGCCGGAGUUGUCCGGCGCAAUCACGGAGACCGUUAUUGUCUGCGAGUUCGCAAGCUCGAAGCUUUGGAAGCUAUCAGCGACUUCUUUGUUCAGCAUCCGCUGAAGACAAAAAAGAAUGUUGAUAGUCGAAAGUUUCGGCACAUUCUCCAGCUUAUGAAGCAAAAGCUACAUCUUGAAAAAGAUGGAUUGCUGAGAAUCAUUGAAAUCGCACUUGCGAUGAAUACGGCUCAGCGACCUGUUCUGGAAGAGAUUAAGCAACGUCUUCUGGCCGGAUAAAGAUAUAGUCCACGCUGGCAUGAAAGUGUCAGGUACUUCGUGAGCGAAGUUCCUUGUCGGGUAAGUUCCGACCUGCAUGAAUGGCGUAACGAUUGGAGCACUGUCUCAACCACCGACCCGGUGAAAUUGUAGUCGUGGUGAAGAUGCCACGUACCCGCAGCUAGACGGAAAGACCCCGUGAACCUUUACUGCAGGCUGAUAUUGGGCUGAGGUUUAUUAUGUGUAGGAUAGGUGGGAGGCUAUGAACCGGCGACGCCAGUCGUUGGGGAGCCAACCUUGAAAUACCACCCUUGAUACACUUUAGUUCUAACGUUGAUCCCGUGAAUCCGGGCAACGGACAGUGUCAGUUGGGCAGUUUGACUGGGGCGGUCUCCUCCCAAAAUGUAACGGAGGAGUGCAAAGGUACACUCAGCCUGAUUGGUAACCAGGCGUAGAGCGCAAAGGUAAAAGUGUGCUUAACUGCGAGACUUAUCAGUCGAGCAGAUGCGAAAGCAGGUCUUAGUGAUCCGGUAAUUCCGAAUGGAAGGGUUAUCGCUCAUCAGAUAAAAGGUACUCCGGGGAUAACAGGCUUAUCGCUCCCGAGCGUCCAUAGCGGCGGAGCGGUUUGGCACCUCGAUGUCGGCUCAUCACAUCCUGGGGGUGAAGAAGCUCCCAAGGGUUCGGCUGUUCGCCGAUGAAAGUGGUACGUGAGCUGGGUUCAGACCGUCGUGAGACAGGUCGGUCCCUAUCUACUGUGGGCGUUCGAAACUUGAGGGGAUUCUUCUUUAGUACGAGAGGAUUUGGAAGGACGAACCUCUGGUGUUCCAGUUGUCGCGCUAGCGGCAUGGCUGGAUAGCUAUGUUCGGAAAGGAUAAACGCUGAAAGCAUCUAAGCGUGAAGCCCCCCCCGAGAUUAGGUUUCGUACGUGUUUGACACGAGAGCCCCCUUGAAGACGACGAGGUUGAUAGGCUGGAUGUGUAAGCUCAGCAAUGGGUUUAGCUAACCAGUACUAACGGGCGAACGCUUGACCA